ACUCCACGGCCGGGCCCAAAGCGCGGAGAAGAGGGUCCCCCCGGUGAAAAUGGACAGCCCGGAAUGACUAAUCCUCCCCACCGGACGGUCCCUGCAGCAUAGCCGGGCCCGGACCAGCUCACCCUAACUUCCCGCCAAGGGGGGGAGCAGUACAGGUAGCAGUGGUCUUCCACAAUAUGUUCGGCUUCCUGGAAGCAGGGACAUUACUUGUUGCCUUGCUGCAGCUUUGAAGAGGGGAAAGCUCCUAUAGGGGAAGGGAAACCGACCAUUUACAAGGAACAGGAAGCAGCAUGAGGUGGCAGCAGAACAUUUCACAGGAUGAUGGACAUCUGCCAUUGUCAUCCAGUGUACACAUGAACUAAAUAAGAAGAAAAACCUGAAACAUCAACAGAGUUUACCUUUUAAACUUUAUUCUUUUCUGUUUGUCUGCUAUAUAUUUUUAACAAAACAGUUUAACCUUGUCAGCUAAAUAUCAUUCACAGGUAUAGAAAAAUUGGACCUAUAUUCCAACAAUAAUGGAGUACUGUGGCCAAAAUUAACUUAUCCCCUA
This is a long non-coding RNA of Hyla sarda, 550 nucleotides long. RefSeq lists it as uncharacterized. The record is from RefSeq and is a predicted model, not a curated record. Lineage: Eukaryota; Metazoa; Chordata; Amphibia; Anura; Hylidae. The transcript is spliced from 3 exons.